Molecule: ribosomal RNA, 112 nt
Filed under: Caerostris darwini
Lineage: Eukaryota; Metazoa; Arthropoda; Arachnida; Araneae; Araneidae
Source: RNAcentral
AACGGCCGUACCAUGCUGAAGAUACCGGUUCUCGUUAGAUCACCGAAGUUAAGCAUCAUUGGGCGCGGUCAGUACUUGGGUGGGGGACCACCUGGGAACACUGCGUGCCGUU